AGAGUUGAUUCUGGCUCAGGAUGAACGCUAGCUACAGGCUUAACACAUGCAAGUCGAGGGGUAGGCAGGGUAGCAAUACCGCUGACGACCGGCGCACGGGUGAGUAACACGUAUCCAACCUUCCCAUAACUCAGGGAUAGCCUUUCGAAAGAAAGAUUAAUACCUGAUAGUACUUUUUCUAAGGCAUCUUGAGAAAGUUAAAGAUUUAUUGGUUAUGGACGGGGAUGCGUUCCAUUAGAUAGUUGGUGAGGUAACGGCUCACCAAGUCUUCGAUGGAUAGGGGUUCUGAGAGGAAGGUCCCCCACAUUGGUACUGAGACACGGACCAAACUCCUACGGGAGGCAGCAGUGAGGAAUAUUGGUCAAUGGGCGAGAGCCUGAACCAGCCAAGUAGCGUGAAGGAAUGAAGGUCCUAUGGAUUGUAAACUUCUUUUAUAGUAGAAUAAAGUGAUCCACGUGUGGAUUUUUGUUAUGUAUACUAUGAAUAAGGAUCGGCUAACUCCGUGCCAGCCGCGGC
This 516-nucleotide ribosomal RNA is filed under the name uncultured bacterium. RNAcentral describes it as "bacterial SSU rRNA". It matches the Rfam family "Bacterial small subunit ribosomal RNA", at positions 8 to 518 of the family's 1533-position model. The record is from RNAcentral.